UACGUAGGCAGCAAGCGUUGUUCGGAGUUACUGGGCGUAAAGGGUGUGUAGGCGGUCUUCUAAGUUUGGUGUGAAAUCUCCCGGCUUAACUGGGAGGGUGCGCCGAAGACUGGAAGGCUUGAGUAUGGGAGAGGUAAGCGGAAUUCCUGGUGUAGCGGUGAAAUGCGUAGAUAUCAGGAGGAACACCUGCGGUGUAGACGGCUUACUGGACCAUCACUGACGCUGAGGCACGAAAGCGUGGGUAGCAAACAGG
Molecule: ribosomal RNA, 253 nt
Filed under: uncultured bacterium
Lineage: Bacteria
Description: partial 16S ribosomal RNA
Rfam family: Bacterial small subunit ribosomal RNA
Source: RNAcentral